Long non-coding RNA from Xenopus laevis (African clawed frog), 470 nucleotides. RefSeq lists it as uncharacterized. NCBI's taxonomy places the organism in Eukaryota, Metazoa, Chordata, Amphibia, Anura, Pipidae. The record is from RefSeq and is a predicted model, not a curated record. The transcript has 2 exons.
UCUUGCUCCUCAGGGGCAUGGAUUACCAUUACAGUGCUUCCCAGGACACUGAGAGUACACCCCAACUUCCCCAAGACAUUCAGGCUCUCUCCGAGCAGAUAGGAAGACAUCACAGCGCUGAAAGGGCAAUUUAAUGAGUCGGGAUACAUUGACACCUUACAAGGUUUUCUCCCCUGCGCACCACUCAUACCUGCACGCGUCCCUCCUUGUCGACACAGGCGUAGGAGCCCUUUCUUUUUGAGGAUGACGCUGCUGCCAAUAAGGAGGCUGGACAACACGGCCAACAGCAAACCGCUAAGGAAUUCGUAGUUUUGUGUUACAGCCUGCGACAAGCCGGCGUCCAGCGUCAGGUUCUGAUAGACAGAGCUGGGGAGGUCGAUCUCGCCCACGAUCCGGCACAGCACCUGGUGCGAAGGGCAGCUUAAUGCAACUAGAGAGCCUGCAGAAAAAUAAAUGUGAACAUUAUUAUU